This is a long non-coding RNA of Apodemus sylvaticus (European woodmouse), 618 nucleotides long. RefSeq lists it as uncharacterized. NCBI's taxonomy places the organism in Eukaryota, Metazoa, Chordata, Mammalia, Rodentia, Muridae. The record is from RefSeq and is a predicted model, not a curated record. The transcript has 4 exons.
UUUCUCUCCUUAUCAGCAGUGAACAAAGAGCUCAGUAGCUGGGUGGGGAAUCCAGGAAGAGUGUGUCUCAGUGGGAACCUAGACUGAAGCCACUGACUGGCUGUAGAGUUCUCUCUUUAACUUCCAGGACUCAGCUUGCUGUGGCUACUCGAUGCUGGUCAAGUCCACUAAUUGCAUCAGCCUGAGUCUGGCUUCCUCUACGGAUGCCAACGGUGCCACUGACCCCAUACCUCGGUGUGGUUCCUGGUGAGAAAAGGGAAGUACCUUACAUCUAGAGGCCAGUGCUUGGGGGACCUAGAAUGGGCCUGGAGCAGAUCUCUGCCUCCCUAGCCUAGCCUUGAUAUAGGAUUUGAUUUCUCUGGAGAGAUUGCUCCCAACCCCCUGCCACCACCCCAAGAUGAGCCACCUUUCUCUACUCUACUUGCCCUUCAGAGCCAGUUUUCCACGUAGGACUCAGAAGACAGCCUACAAGAGUUGAUUCUUGGGCUGGAGAGAUGGCUCGGCAGUUAAGAGCACUGAAUGCUCUUCCAGAGGUCCUGAGUUCAAUUCUCAGCAACAUGGUGGCUCACACCAUCUGUAAUGUAAUCUGAUGCCCUCUUCUGGUGUGUAUGAAGACAA